CUGACGACCGGAUCGAUGAAGUUAGAGAGGAAUGUGUAGUAACCAAGCAUCACAAAAUGGCCUGACCAAUUGAGGAUGACUCCAAGUCCAACCUACAGCAAAGGAGGGGGAAAACAAAUGAAAUCUUAUGACCAGUGCAGGCUGUUCCUACAUGUGCAAGGCCAUGCCUCGCUUUAAGUACCCAACUAUGUGGAGUGAACCACACACUUGAAUCUAUUCGAGUGUUGGACCCAAUUUGAUAUUUUUAUCUUAUACCGCAAAAUAUUGCCAUCAACUUUUCAUAUUUUUCUGUUUUGGUUCAAAUGUUCAAAUAGAUUUUUCGACUUUGUGGAUACAUGUUCUAUUCCUUGUCGUGCUCUACAGUGCAGGCUAUUCCUACAUGUGCAAUGCUAUGCUUCGCUUCAACUAAGGAGCCGAAAACCCCGCAAAAAAAAAGGAGCUGUAAUCAAUUGACCA
Brachypodium distachyon (stiff brome) is the source of this 456-nucleotide long non-coding RNA. RefSeq lists it as uncharacterized. Lineage: Eukaryota; Viridiplantae; Streptophyta; Magnoliopsida; Poales; Poaceae. The transcript is spliced from 2 exons. The record is from RefSeq and is a predicted model, not a curated record.